Molecule: long non-coding RNA, 1196 nt
Filed under: Equus asinus (donkey)
Lineage: Eukaryota; Metazoa; Chordata; Mammalia; Perissodactyla; Equidae
Description: lncRNA (ENSEASG00005028972.1)
Source: RNAcentral
CAGACCGCUUGCUGGAAACUGAAAGACUGUGGGCAGCAGAAAUCUGGGCACCAAUGUCCUGUGGGACAUCCUCUCAGGGGGUCAGGGGAUACGAGGGCCACAAGAGGCAUCGGAAGCUAUCGAGGCCACCGCCCAUCAGAGUUUGAGCGCCCUUGUUGUUCUCUGCCAAGCUGUUGCUCAGGCUCUACCUCAACACCUCCAGAGACGGGGACCUUGCCUCCCCCAGGAUGCCCACCACCCUAAGACUGAGAGGAUGCUGGGAACAGCUCGCCGGUUUUAUUCGAUUUGCAUCCUCAGAGCCUGGAAGACUCCAGAAAUGUCCAUCCUGUUCUCUUCCACCCCCCACCAGCCUUUGCUGAGCCUUGAGCGAAGUCUGGGGGGUCUAAGACAAGCAAAUGCAGUCCCUGCCUUGAGGAUCCCAGAGUCUAGAGAAGGAGGAAGGCCAUGGGCAGGUGAUGAUGAUACAGUGUGAUGGUGCCACAGUGGGGUCGUGCAGGAAAGAGAGGAACCAAGAGAGACCCGGGGAAGCCCGUGGGACAGAGGCUGGAUGGGAGUGGAGGGUGGACCAUGUCUAACUGGAGAUGCCGAAGGAAAAGAAGAGCAGAGGGCUCCGGCAGGCAGACGGAGGUGCAGAAGACAGGGCCUGGGAGGAGCAAUUAAAAGUAGAAAUGACUUGAAAGUCCAGAAAGAGAAGCAACGUUCGUAGCAGUUCUGGUACCAAAAUGCCUGCCAAAGGAUCCUAGGUAUGUAUGACAUGCGCCGCACGAUGACGUUGAGGUCAAUGACAGACUGUGUAUACGACGGUGCAGUACCAUACAGCCCAGGUGUGCAGUAGACUGCACCGUCUGGAUUCAUCUUCUUUUGAAGAGUCAGAAGAUUACGUGACCCUAGGCCCAUAUUCCUUUCUCCACUAGGCUCCUGCUCACAUUUCUGUAUGAAACCUCUUCUAUAGGAUGCUGUGCCCGUCAGUGGGCUUUGGGCAGCAAGCAAAAGACAUUUGAUGCAAAAAGACUUAAGCAAGUAAGGAAUUUAUGUCUCAUAUAACUCAUAGUCCAGAGGGAGGGUGGGCUUCAGGCACAGUUCAAUCAAUGGGACCCAGGUGAAUCUUUCCAGUCUCUCUACUCAGCGCUAAUGUCACCUUGAAGUUGGUCCCUCUCAUGAUUGCAAGAUGGCGGCCAGUGACGAUUGGGGCAAUA